AUUGAACGCUGGCGGCAGGCUUAACACAUGCAAGUCGAACGAUGACUCUCUAGCUUGCUAGAGAUGAUUAGUGGCGGACGGGUGAGUAACAUUUAGGCAUCUGCCUAGUAGUGGGGGAUAGCUCGGGGAAACUCGAAUUAAUACCGCAUACGACCUACGGGUGAAAGGGGGCGCAAGCUCUUGCUAUUAGAUGAGCCUAAAUCAGAUUAGCUAGUUGGUGGGGUAAAGGCCCACCAAGGCGACGAUCUGUAACUGGUCUGAGAGGAUGAUCAGUCACACCGGAACUGAGACACGGUCCGGACUCCUACGGGAGGCAGCAGUGGGGAAUAUUGGACAAUGGGGGCAACCCUGAUCCAGCCAUGCCGCGUGUGUGAAGAAGGCCUUUUGGUUGUAAAGCACUUUAAGCAGGGAGGAGAGGCUAAUGGUUAAUACCCAUUAGAUUAGACGUUACCUGCAGAAUAAGCACCGGCUAACUCUGUGCCAGCAGCCGCAGUAA
RNAcentral lists this ribosomal RNA (496 nucleotides) under uncultured bacterium. Its description in RNAcentral is "partial 16S ribosomal RNA". It matches the Rfam family "Bacterial small subunit ribosomal RNA", at positions 30 to 523 of the family's 1533-position model. The record is from RNAcentral.